This 440-nucleotide ribosomal RNA is filed under the name uncultured bacterium. RNAcentral describes it as "partial 16S ribosomal RNA". It matches the Rfam family "Bacterial small subunit ribosomal RNA", at positions 338 to 795 of the family's 1533-position model. The record is from RNAcentral.
CCUACGGGAGGCAGCAGUGGGGAAUAUUGCACAAUGGGGGAAACCCUGAUGCAGCGACGCCGCGUGAGGGAAGAAGUAAUUCGUUACGUAAAGCACUAUCAGCGGGGAAGAAAAUGACGGUACCUGAGUAAGAAGCCCCGGAUAACUCCGUGCCAGCAGCCGCGGUAAUACGAAGGGGGAAAGCGUUAGCCGGAUCUACUGGGUGUAAAGGGAGCGGAGACGGUGCGCCAAGACUGGAGUGAAAUGCCGGAGCUUAACUGCGGAACUGCUUUGGUAACUGGCGAACUAGAGUGCGGGAGGGGGAGGUGGAAGUCCUGGUGUAGCAGUGAAAUGCGUAGAUAUUAGGAGGAACACCGGUGGCGAAGGCAGCUUACUGGAACGUAACUGACGUUGAGGCUCGAAAGCGUGGGGAGCAAACAGGAUUAGAUACCCGUGUAGUC